Molecule: long non-coding RNA, 3789 nt
Organism: Cydia strobilella
Lineage: Eukaryota; Metazoa; Arthropoda; Insecta; Lepidoptera; Tortricidae
Exons: 3
Source: RefSeq, a predicted model, not a curated record
UUAUUUGAUAUUGGUUUCUAAAGUCACCAUGGCACAAUUUCCCGUCUUCAAGCUUCGUUUGUCUCUUAUUUAUGCUGUCUUUCUGAGCGAAAUGGAGUUCCUUCUUAAUUUGGGCCUUAUCAAAAUAUAUCCUACUUAAGCUUUCUUCUGGAGCCUUGUACUAUCUCCAACUGCAGCAAUUUUCUUCCAUUAUCUCGAAAGGAUCUUCUAUGCAACAUUAUUUGACUCCCUUUGCCGAAAAAAUAAGAAAGGAAUAAGAGGUCAAGAUAUUAUGAUUGACAGCAGGCCAGUCGCAAAAAAAAAUGAGACAAAAUUAAGGCUCGUGAAUCUUCGGACUGAAAAGUUAAGGAUACCAUCUAUUACAUAUUAUUUCAAUUGGGCUAUUUUGUAAACCUUAUCCCGGGUGCGACAUCAACCACUGGUUUCCAGCGGGCACAAUUGAAAUUAUACGAAAGAUGUUAAGAAAUCAGGAGAAAUAUAAGCUGGAGAAGAUAGAAAAUCGAGAAAAGUUCUGAAACAAGGAAGACCGUAAUCGUUUUUGUAACAAGUUAUCGGUGAGUUGAAUAAGAUUGACCUAAAUUAUUUCACGAGACAUCGGAGCGUGCUAUUACCAUAGAUGACAAUUUUGGGCACAUUCUUAUUGAACUCAUGGGAAGGUUUUAAAAAUGGUAACAAAAACACAUGCAACGAGGAUGAAUUUAUGUAAAUACAACAGAAUUAUCAUCACAAAAAGAAGAAGUUAACAUCAUAACUACCGAUGAUUUGAAUAAGAUCUGACUGAAAUCACAAUAGCCUAUAUCAAACAAUCAAUUGAGACCACCUAUGAUAAUGCUGAUUUCAGUUUUAGCUGAUUUAGAUCACGGAAAGGAAUUAUCGUUCAAAGGACAGAGCAAGACAUCUUAUGUUAUCGGUGAUUUGAAUAAGAUGCUAUUGAAAUCAUACACACACAUUCUUCAAAGGCACCGUGAAGCAUCAAAUAAUGAUGAUUUCACAGACAUCUUAUUUGAAACAUGGAAAGGAAUAACAUACUUGUUCAGACAUGCUUUUAACGCGGUAAAAACUUUCUAAAGCAUCUGAAUAAGUUUACGAGACAGAUAUGAAGCCACAGUGAAAGUAAAGAAAUUUAGAUCCGGAUGGACCACGAAAUAGCGCUCGUUUAAUCGAUGUAUUUCAUGAGGACUGCGUAAUAAGAGCUUUUUGUUUUGGCUUAAUAAAAACCAUGGAAAGGAUAUAAAUAUAGGAAAUGCCUCGAAGAAUCUUCAGCUUUUGCCUUUGAUUUUUCUCGGUGUAUUGCAUUCGUCGAUGGAACGACACCGACGAAUUCACUGCAACCAGGGAAAUCAUGUUCUUGGCGAGAACAGAUACUUGACGAGACCAUCCAGUGAUUUGUGUUGUGUCAGUGCGUCGAGGUAGACUUUUGGCGAAAUUUUCGGACUAUGAUCAGAAAAAAAUACCAUUACUGAUAUGAAUAGGCGCAAAAGUGAAACAUUUGCUUGCAGGCAUCGGAUCAGGAUUGACUUUUAUAUUUUUGAUCAGGUAUUUUUGUUGUCGUGAUUUUUACAAUUUUAGAUUGUUUGAGUGCAGUAUAUUUUAGCUCGGCAGAUUUGUCCGACCCGCUGGACAUUUAACUGUGUGCUCAACUUUUUGUCAGAUAACAUCUUUUAUGACCGGGUCAGACCAGUUUUCUGUGCUUUACUUAAUUAAUUAAUUGGAUUCAGAUGCGUCUUAUUGAAAUUAUUUGUCAUAUUUUUAACUAGUUUUAAGAACUUUGUAAAUUAAUUUUGUCUUGUACCGAUCGACCACUUUAAAAUGUUUCUAUAAUCUUGAUCUUCCAAGAUUUUGCUUUUCGUCAUAACAAUAUUAGACCCCGUUCCUUUAACAUUAGCGUAAAUUUAGGCAGGGUGAAAGAGCAGGCUCAUUUUCUAGUAAGCUGACCAUGAAUGUGUCCUUACGUUCUUGUCCUGCCUCUAAUUUUCGCGCGGCUGAGGCACCCGCGCGCAAGCUCGGCCAUACUUGUAGCGUUGUGUGAUUCUCGGCACAGUCCGCGUCGGGGCGCUGCGGAGUGCGAAGUGGAGCGAGCGAAGCGAAACGAGGCUGAGAAACCCAGUGUCUUGACAUUAUAUAUCCUCCCUUGGCACGGGUGGCUCUGUAUAUUUCGAGAAAACAAUAACACUUUGAUACGCCGCUGGCUUCCACGUCGCAGCGCGCUAACAGCAUCGAGUUGACGAACUCUGCGACGACUGUCUUGUUCGCGUCGCCGAAAUCCUUUAGAUUCGGUACGUAGUACGUCGAGCACAGCCUUGAGAAUCUUGAUGCCGCCGUGAUUCCUUUCAACUUGAAUGCCAAACAGUUGGAAGAGUUGACUUCGAUUUUUUAAUUGAAAUUUAAAUUUGUGAGCACGCUUUUAAAACCUCAAGGUUGCUGAAGUUAAAGCGAAUAACCGCUUCCGCUUCGCUUUCCGUUUCUGUACUGGCCACUACAGGUUUUUUUAAUGCGGCGAAAGGCUGUGUAUCCGUGUUGUCGUAUUACUCGUAUUGAUAUAUAUCGUCACCAUCUUGAAUGCGUAUACGUUCUUAGUGGAAAACGGUAACAUAGCACCUUUAAAAGCGUGUAAAAUUUCUAAUGCCUUUAUUUCCAAAUUCGAUACGGAAUUACUUUGAGAGCAGUGCCGUAGUCGACUCAGACAUUUGCGUCAGCUGCGAAUAUUGGAAACGAGAUGCAUAAUUACACCUUAGGUGACAAUGGAGAUUAAUCGGUUUCGAUUCUGCUAUUUAUUUCUUAAGGAGUCACUGUUCUGUAGCUAAAUCGCAGAACCUAACUUAAGAUCCAAACGCCUCUCGGUGUCGUUAAGGUCGUGGGUUGUUCCGAGUCCAAAAGUGCUUGGUCCGUAUAGAGGCGCACCAGCGCUUCCAUGCCAAGCCGGGCUCCUCGAGGAACGUGAGCGACUACUCGCCUCGUUUCUUAUGAUGAGUCGAAGAAACACUGUAUCAUCUUUACUAUCUCUAUGCAAUCGCGCGUACAAGCAAACAUCUUUCCUGGAUGUGCGAAAAGUUUAUCUCUACAAACGAUCAUUCGCACUGUGACUCGCAGCUCUACGUGAUGAAGGACUUUUCUCCUAAAGCACAUGAGUUUUGGGUAAAGUUGCUAGUUACAAAUAUUCUCUGAAAUAUUUCAGACACGACAGCUCCCGACCAAUUUUACCCAUAAACAUGUGUUUUAAGAAAUAAAUCUGUCUACUUCCAGUUUUUUUAGUCUAUAGUGGUGUGUCGGACGCCAAAGAUUUCCUAUUUUUUUUUGGGUUUUCGUGUUUUGACGUUUGGUUUUGGAAAUUGUCAUUAUUUUUAUAGUUGCGUUUUGGUCAAGCGUAUUUUAAAGCAGAUAGGUACUAGAACCGACAUAAGAUUUUGAAAAAGUUAAGAACGGAAUAUUAUGAUGGGUUUAGUUAGUUUUGAUGUAUUUAUGUAUUCAGGUUUGAUGUGAUUAUUUCCAUUCUGUGUCCUGUGUUAGGUUUGAUGUAAUAAGUUUCAGGCUAGUCAUCUUAAAUUAACGGUUAGACAUAUGGCAAAUCCGUGACAUUAUGAAGCCCAGCAUCUUAAUUUUACGAUUUUUUGUCAUCGUCCGCUUUAUUAGGUGUAAAUUUGUUUGAAUAUUGUUAGCACGCACGCAAUUAUCCAAUGCAUUUCAUUGUAGAAAUCAGUCCCAGUUUUUUAUAUAUUUUUUAUUAUUAUAUUGCGACUAUUGUCGUGAAGAUUCCUCUUUAGUUAGUUUUGGAGUUUUUAUAAAAAUAUA